Molecule: ribosomal RNA, 520 nt
Filed under: uncultured Glomeromycotina
Lineage: Eukaryota; Fungi; Glomeromycota
Description: SSU rRNA
Rfam family: Eukaryotic small subunit ribosomal RNA
Source: RNAcentral
AGCAGCCGCGGUAAUUCCAGCUCCAAUAGCGUAUAUUAAAGUUGUUGCAGUUAAAAAGCUCGUAGUUGAAUUUCGGGAUCAAGUUGUUGGUCGUGCCUCGGUACGUACUGGUGACAUUGGUUUCUCCCUUCUGAAGAACCUUGAUGUCAUUAAUUUGGUGUCUUGGGGAAUCAGGACUGUUACUUUGAAAAAAUUAGAGUGUUUAAAGCAGGCUCACGCUUGAAUACAUUAGCAUGGAAUAAUGAAAUAGGACGUUUGAUUCUAUUUUGUUGGUUUCUAGGAUCGACGUAAUGAUUAAUAGGGAUAGUUGGGGGCAUUAGUAUUCAAUUGUCAGGGGUGAAAUUCUUGGAUUUAUUGAAGACUAACUACUGCGAAAGCAUUUGCCAAGGAUGUUUUCAUUAAUCAAGAACGAAAGUUAGGGGAUCGAAGACGAUCAGAUACCGUCGUAGUCUUAACCAUAAACUAUGCCGACUAGGGAUCGGAUGAUGUUAAUUUUUUAAUGACUCAUUCGGCGCCUUAC